RNAcentral lists this ribosomal RNA (927 nucleotides) under Nesterenkonia halobia. Its description in RNAcentral is "bacterial SSU rRNA". It matches the Rfam family "Bacterial small subunit ribosomal RNA", at positions 56 to 987 of the family's 1533-position model. The record is from RNAcentral. Lineage: Bacteria; Bacillati; Actinomycetota; Actinomycetes; Micrococcales; Micrococcaceae.
UGCAGUCGAACGAUGAAGCCGGGUGCUUGCACCGGGUGGAUUAGUGGCGAACGGGUGAGUAUCACGUGAGUAACCUGCCCUUGACUCUGGGAUAAGCCUGGGAAACUGGGUCUAAUACCGGAUAUGACCAGUCCUCGCAUGGGGUGCUGGUGGAAAGAUUUAUCGGUCUUGGAUGGACUCGCGGCCUAUCAGUUUGUUGGUGAGGUAAUGGCUCACCAAGGCGAUGACGGGUAGCCGGCCUGAGAGGGUGACCGGCCACACUGGGACUGAGACACGGCCCAGACUCCUACGGGAGGCAGCAGUGGGGAAUAUUGCACAAUGGGCGCAAGCCUGAUGCAGCGACGCCGCGUGCGGGAUGACGGCCUUCGGGUUGUAAACCGCUUUCAGCAGGGAAGAAGCUUUUUGUGACGGUACCUGCAGAAGAAGCGCCGGCUAACUACGUGCCAGCAGCCGCGGUAAUACGUAGGGCGCGAGCGUUAUCCGGAAUUAUUGGGCGUAAAGGGCUCGCAGGCGGUUUGCCACGUCUGCUGUGAAAGCCCGGGGCUUAACUCCGGGUGUGCAGUGGGUACGGGUAGACUAGAGUGCAGUAGGGGAGACUGGAAUUCCUGGUGUAGCGGUGAAAUGCGCAGAUAUCAGGAAGAACACCGAUGGCGAAGGCAGGUCUCUGGGCUGUUACUGACGCUGAGGAGCGAAAGCAUGGGGAGCGAACAGGAUUAGAUACCCUGGUAGUCCAUGCCGUAAACGUUGGGCACUAGGUGUGGGGGACAUUCCACGUUUUCCGCGCCGUAGCUAACGCAUUAAGUGCCCCGCCUGGGGAGUACGGGCCGCAAGGCUAAAACUCAAAGGAAUUGACGGGGGGCCCGCACAAGCGGCGGAGCAUGCGGAUUAAUUCGAUGCAACGCGAAGAAUCUUACCAAGGCUUGACAU